RNAcentral lists this ribosomal RNA (253 nucleotides) under uncultured bacterium. RNAcentral's name for it is "partial 16S ribosomal RNA". It matches the Rfam family "Bacterial small subunit ribosomal RNA", at positions 524 to 776 of the family's 1533-position model. The record is from RNAcentral.
UACAGAGGUCUCAAGCGUUGUUCGGAUUCAUUGGGCGUAAAGGGUGCGUAGGCGGCGCGGUAAGUCGGGUGUGAAAUCUCGGAGCUUAACUCCGAACCUGCAUUCGAUACUGCCGUGCUUGAGGACUGGAGAGGAGACUGGAAUUUACGGUGUAGCGGUGAAAUGCGUAGAUAUCGUAAGGAAGACCAGUGGCGAAGGCGGGUCUCUGGACAGUUCCUGACGCUGAGGCACGAAGGCCAGGGGAGCAAACGGG